This 1107-nucleotide ribosomal RNA is filed under the name Salmonella enterica. RNAcentral's name for it is "bacterial SSU rRNA". It matches the Rfam family "Bacterial small subunit ribosomal RNA", at positions 1 to 1102 of the family's 1533-position model. RNAcentral also lists the same sequence under 6 other names. The record is from RNAcentral. Lineage: Bacteria; Pseudomonadati; Pseudomonadota; Gammaproteobacteria; Enterobacterales; Enterobacteriaceae.
GAAGAGUUUGAUCAUGGCUCAGAUUGAACGCUGGCGGCAGGCCUAACACAUGCAAGUCGAACGGUAACAGGAAGCAGCUUGCUGCUUUGCUGACGAGUGGCGGACGGGUGAGUAAUGUCUGGGAAACUGCCUGAUGGAGGGGGAUAACUACUGGAAACGGUGGCUAAUACCGCAUAACGUCGCAAGACCAAAGAGGGGGACCUUCGGGCCUCUUGCCAUCAGAUGUGCCCAGAUGGGAUUAGCUUGUUGGUGAGGUAACGGCUCACCAAGGCGACGAUCCCUAGCUGGUCUGAGAGGAUGACCAGCCACACUGGAACUGAGACACGGUCCAGACUCCUACGGGAGGCAGCAGUGGGGAAUAUUGCACAAUGGGCGCAAGCCUGAUGCAGCCAUGCCGCGUGUAUGAAGAAGGCCUUCGGGUUGUAAAGUACUUUCAGCGGGGAGGAAGGUGUUGUGGUUAAUAACCGCAGCAAUUGACGUUACCCGCAGAAGAAGCACCGGCUAACUCCGUGCCAGCAGCCGCGGUAAUACGGAGGGUGCAAGCGUUAAUCGGAAUUACUGGGCGUAAAGCGCACGCAGGCGGUCUGUCAAGUCGGAUGUGAAAUCCCCGGGCUCAACCUGGGAACUGCAUUCGAAACUGGCAGGCUUGAGUCUUGUAGAGGGGGGUAGAAUUCCAGGUGUAGCGGUGAAAUGCGUAGAGAUCUGGAGGAAUACCGGUGGCGAAGGCGGCCCCCUGGACAAAGACUGACGCUCAGGUGCGAAAGCGUGGGGAGCAAACAGGAUUAGAUACCCUGGUAGUCCACGCCGUAAACGAUGUCUACUUGGAGGUUGUGCCCUUGAGGCGUGGCUUCCGGAGCUAACGCGUUAAGUAGACCGCCUGGGGAGUACGGCCGCAAGGUUAAAACUCAAAUGAAUUGACGGGGGCCCGCACAAGCGGUGGAGCAUGUGGUUUAAUUCGAUGCAACGCGAAGAACCUUACCUGGUCUUGACAUCCACAGAACUUUCCAGAGAUGGAUUGGUGCCUUCGGGAACUGUGAGACAGGUGCUGCAUGGCUGUCGUCAGCUCGUGUUGUGAAAUGUUGGGUUAAGUCCCGCAACGAGCGCAAC